RNAcentral lists this transfer RNA (76 nucleotides) under Thermosulfuriphilus ammonigenes. RNAcentral describes it as "tRNA-Asn". It matches the Rfam family "tRNA". From Rfam's summary of the family: Transfer RNA (tRNA) molecules are approximately 80 nucleotides in length. Their secondary structure includes four short double-helical elements and three loops (D, anti-codon, and T loops). Further hydrogen bonds mediate the characteristic L-shaped molecular structure. tRNAs have two regions of fundamental functional importance: the anti-codon, which is responsible for specific mRNA codon recognition, and the 3' end, to which the tRNAs corresponding amino acid is attached (by aminoacyl-tRNA synthetases). tRNAs cope with the degeneracy of the genetic code in two manners: having more than one tRNA (with a specific anti-codon) for a particular amino acid; and 'wobble' base-pairing, i.e. permitting non-standard base-pairing at the 3rd anti-codon position. Lineage: Bacteria; Pseudomonadati; Thermodesulfobacteriota; Thermodesulfobacteria; Thermodesulfobacteriales; Thermodesulfobacteriaceae. The record is from RNAcentral.
UCCCGGGUAGCUCAACCGGCAGAGCGGGUGGCUGUUAACCACUAGGUUGGGGGUUCGAGUCCCUCCCCGGGAGCCA